CAUUAAUAAAAGGAUACCUUCGGGUAUACCCCAUCCGUGUCUAUCUACUCUUGUUGCUUUGGCAGGCCGUGGUCUCCCACUGUGGGCUCUGCCUGCAUGUGCCUGCCAGAGGACCAAACUCUGAAUUUUAGUGAUGUCUGAGUACUAUAUAAUAGUUAAAACUUUCAACAACGGAUCUCUUGGUUCUGGCAUCGAUGAAGAACGCAGCGAAAUGCGAUAAGUAAUGUGAAUUGCAGAAUUCAGUGAAUCAUCGAAUCUUUGAACGCACAUUGCACCCGGUGGUAUUCCGCCGGGUAUGCCUGUUCGAGCGUCUGUAGAACAACACCAAGACCAAGCUUUAGGCUUGAUUUUGAGGUUGCGGCUUCGGCUGCAGCCUUUAAGAGAGGUGGCGGCGUCCGAUGGACUCUAAGCGUAGUAAUUUCUCCUCGCUACAGAGUCUGCCGGCGCAUUUGGUACUCACUCCAAGCCAACCAAACCCCCCCAAUUUUAGUUUGACCUCGGAUCAAGUAGGGAUACCCGCUGAACUUAAGCAUAUCAAUAAGCGGAGGAAAAGAAACCAACAGGGAUUACCUCAGUAACGGCGAGUGAAGCGGUAAGAGCUCAAAUUUGAAAGCUGCCAACAGGCCGCAUUGUAAUUUGUAGAAGAUGCUUUGGGUGUUGGCCUAGUCUAAGUUCCUUGGAACAGGACGUCAUAGAGGGUGAGAAUCCCGUAUGUGAUUAGUGCCAUCCCCCGUGUAAAGCUCUUUCGACGAGUCGAGUUGUUUGGGAAUGCAGCUCAAAAUGGGUGGUAAAUUUCAUCUAAAGCUAAAUAUUGGCCAGAGACCGAUAGCGCACAAGUAGAGUGAUCGAAAGAUGAAAAGCACUUUGGAAAGAGAGUUAAAUAGUACGUGAAAUUGUUGAAAGGGAAGCGCUUGCAAUCAGACUUGCAGGCGGUUGAUCAUCCGAGGUUCUCCCCGGUGCACUCGAUCGUCUUCAGGCCAGCAUCGGUUUCAGUGGUGGGAUAAAGGCUGUGAGAAUGUGGCUCUUCGGAGUGUUAUAGCUCACGGUGCAAUGCCGCCUACUGGGACCGAGGACCGCGCUUCGGCUAGGA
This 1090-nucleotide ribosomal RNA is filed under the name Helotiales sp. EF792. Its description in RNAcentral is "eukaryotic LSU rRNA". The stretch from base 493 to 1090 matches the Rfam family "Eukaryotic large subunit ribosomal RNA", at positions 1 to 611 of the family's 3401-position model. Lineage: Eukaryota; Fungi; Ascomycota; Leotiomycetes; Helotiales. The record is from RNAcentral.